GACGAACGCUGGCGGCGUGCCUAAUACAUGCAAGUCGAGCGAAUUGAUGAAGAAGCUUGCUUCUUCUGAUGUUAGCGGCGGACGGGUGAGUAACACGUGGGCAACCUACCUUAUAGUUUGGGAUAACUCCGGGAAACCGGGGCUAAUACCGAAUAAUCUAUUUCCUCUCAUGGGGAGAUACUAAAAGACGGUUUCGGCUGUCGCUAUAAGAUGGGCCCGCGGCGCAUUAGCUAGUUGGUGAGGUAACGGCUCACCAAGGCAACGAUGCGUAGCCGACCUGAGAGGGUGAUCGGCCACACUGGGACUGAGACACGGCCCAGACUCCUACGGGAGGCAGCAGUAGGGAAUCUUCCACAAUGGGCGAAAGCCUGAUGGAGCAACGCCGCGUGAGUGAAGAAGGAUUUCGGUUCGUAAAACUCUGUUGUAAGGGAAGAACAAGUACAGUAGUAACUGGCUGUACCUUGACGGUACCUUAUUAGAAAGCCACGGCUAACUACGUGCCAGCCGCCG
This 510-nucleotide ribosomal RNA is filed under the name uncultured bacterium. RNAcentral describes it as "bacterial SSU rRNA". It matches the Rfam family "Bacterial small subunit ribosomal RNA", at positions 28 to 517 of the family's 1533-position model. The record is from RNAcentral.